AGAAUCAACGCUGGCGGCGUGCCUAACACAUGCAAGUCGCACGAGAAAGUGGAGCAAUCCAUGAGUACAGUGGCGCACGGGUGAGUAACACGUGAAUAAUCUACCUCCGAGUGGGGAAUAACUGAGAGAAAUCUUAGCUAAUACCGCAUAAUACCCACGGGUCAAAGCAGCAAUGCGCUUGGAGAGGAGUUCGCGGCCGAUUAGCUAGUUGGCGGGGUAAUGGCCCACCAAGGCGAUGAUCGGUAUCCGGCCUGAGAGGGCGCACGGACACACUGGAACUGAAACACGGUCCAGACUCCUACGGGAGGCAGCAGUGGGGAAUUUUGCGCAAUGGGGGAACCCUGACGCAGCAACGCCGCGUGGAGGAUGAAGCCCCUUGGGGUGUAAACUCCUUUCGAUCGGGAAGAUAAUGACGGUACCGAUAUAAGAAGCCCGGCUAACUUCGUGCCAGCAGCCGC
Molecule: ribosomal RNA, 458 nt
Filed under: uncultured bacterium
Lineage: Bacteria
Description: SSU rRNA
Rfam family: Bacterial small subunit ribosomal RNA
Source: RNAcentral